This 450-nucleotide ribosomal RNA is filed under the name uncultured bacterium. Its description in RNAcentral is "partial 16S ribosomal RNA". It matches the Rfam family "Bacterial small subunit ribosomal RNA", at positions 354 to 796 of the family's 1533-position model. The record is from RNAcentral.
GUGGGGAAUAUUGGACAAUGGGCGAAAGCCUGAUCCAGCCAUGCCGCGUGUGUGAAGAAGGUCUUCGGAUUGUAAAGCACUUUAAGUUGGGAGGAAGGGUAGUAACCUAAUACGUUGCUACUUUGACGUUACCGACAGAAUAAGCACCGGCUAACUUCGUGCCAGCAGCCGCGGUAAUACGAAGGGUGCAAGCGUUAAUCGGAAUUACUGUGCGUACAGCGCGCGUAGGUGGUUCAGUAAGUUGGCAGUGAAAUCCCCUGGCUCCACCUGGGAACUGCUGUGAGAACUGCUGAGCUAGAGUACGGUAGAGGGUGGUGGAAUUUGCUGUGUAGCGGUGAAAUGCGUAGAUAUAGGAAGGAACACCAGUGGCGAAGGCGACCACCUGGACUGAUACUGACACUGAGGUGCGAAAGCGUGGGGAGCAAACAGGAUUAGAAACCCCUGUAGUCC